Gallus gallus (chicken) is the source of this 1273-nucleotide long non-coding RNA. RefSeq lists it as uncharacterized. The record is from RefSeq and is a predicted model, not a curated record. NCBI's taxonomy places the organism in Eukaryota, Metazoa, Chordata, Aves, Galliformes, Phasianidae. The transcript has 2 exons.
GGGCGCGGGCCCUUGUGCGGCCGGCCAGGCUGCCUGGGAGCGCCUCUUCGGGCUGCGGUCGGGUGUGUCUGUGUGCUCCGCGUCAUCUAUCAGGGAUACCCAGAGAAGUCAGGGGACUUGGCGUCCUCACCUUUCUGUAAAAACGUUGUACUUUGUUCGAGCUUCUCUAGAUCUCUGUGAGAUGUGAGGAUGCACCCUGCUCACGAGGAGAAGCAGCUGCCUGUGCCCUAAGGAUACCAAUAGCCCUGACCAGUCUCUACCCUCUGCUCAGGGGCUCUACUCUUGCAAGAGCUGUGUUGUAGCAGUACCAGCCUCCAACUCAGCAACAGCCACACCCCUGCUUCCCACCUGGGCUUUGGACCACACUUUUACUCCACACUUGUCUGGUGAACACCAGGCUGUGUCUGACCCCGGAUAUCAUCACCAGGUCUGAUCCUCACUUUGGCCUUGGACCUGCCUCAUCACCAUGGGCAUGCCUGGUGACAAUCAGGCCAUGCCUGACCCAGACUAACAUCACUGGACCUGCCCCUGAGACACAUUUAUGCAUUGACCUCAGAGCUGCCUCACUACCAGGGACUUGCAUGGACUGGACACUUGGUUUCCCUGAGUGCUCUCCCAGUGCCUGUCCUACUGAUAUUACUUAGAGUGUGUGGGACAUGGACUUCCCUGUCCCUCCACUGGGGAGCAGCCAGCUCUUGCUGCUUUUUGAUACUGAGAGCAUGGAUUCUACUGGCACUUAUUCAGCAAGAGACAUGGGGGCAACUGCAACAAGACUGGCAAUUAUUUCACAGCAUAGUGCAAUGGUUUUGUCUUUCCUGUUGAAGAGUCUUAAAAAGGUUGAGCACAGAAUAUUGACUAUUGGAAGUAUAUUUGAUCUUCAGCCAGGUGUUGAAACGUAACAGCCUCUCUGCAGUAAUGUUCUGCUUAUACACUGAUGGUUCAAUUUUGUGUAAAGAGUGCUAAAAGUAGUUAAAACAGAGAGUUUAGUGCUGUGGCAAUAGCUGUAUGCUUUUGAAUACCAUUGGCAUCAGACUUAAUUCUUAGACAUUAUAAUUACAUGUAAGCUCAUUCUCUGUGCGUUUGCUCUAACUUGUCUUCCCUAUUUAAUCUACAUUACAAUAUUUUGUACUUGAAAAGGAAUAUUGUAUGAAAGAAGCAGGUGAUUCGAUUCUGCUCUCUGUUACUGUUAGAUAAAUUUCACUGAUGUUGGUAGAGUUACCAGGAUUUGUUUAACUGCAAUUAGAAUUUAAUGCAUUUGUUGUUGUUAUUCUUA